RNAcentral lists this non-coding RNA (21 nucleotides) under Caenorhabditis elegans. Lineage: Eukaryota; Metazoa; Nematoda; Chromadorea; Rhabditida; Rhabditidae. The record is from RNAcentral.
UAGAAUUGGAAUAAUACCCGU